GCACCUGCCAUCCCUGCUGGUGUUGUUGGUUGUUUAGCUCCAUCUCCUUGGCCAGAGUGGGAGCCCCUCUGGCUUGCCAAGCAAGUACUUUCAUUCUGUAUUAAGCCUCCCGUUCCCAGUGCUGGUGCUGUGAAGUGUUCCAUGUUUGCUGAAUUUUAUUUUGUUAAUUGCCCUGUUAAUUCUGGAACAGGACUUGACUCCUCUAACACUGAUGGCAAUCUGUUGGCUGAGAUGUUGGGCUUCAAACACCCGACAGGAGGGACAGCAAGGUGUGAGGAUAUUUUGGGGGAAUCACUUAUCGCAAAAACAGGACUAAUAUUGAAGCUUUGUUUAUGAGACAAUGCUAUGAAAAAGGCCAGACAGAAAGGAGCAAGCCGGCGUUGGUUACAACAUGAGGAGAUCAUGUCUGACGGUGCCGGAGAGUGGAUUCAGAGAGAGGCUGUGCUUGAGUUCCACACCCGAUGGAUUCUUUUGGCUGUAAUGUGAAUAAUUUCCAAGAAUUGUGGCUGAUGAGACUAAGGGGGAAUCCCAAAUUUCAUCAAGGAGCCUGUGGGGCUUCCCUGAAAUUUCAUUAGGAGGAGACUAAUUUAAAGAUUAACUAAUGUAAAGAUGCAGUUACCUAAUUAAUCGUAGCAGGCCUGUGUGGUGGUGCAGAGAGGGGCUCCCAGCAACAGAGAGAGACCAAAACAAGACAAAAAAAAUAGAGUUCUAUUUCUAAACUGCGAGCUCCUGCUGUACAACAAAUGAUACCCUUGGAAUUGAGCCCCCUCUGUUCUAAUGGGCUGAAAAUAACCUUGAGAUGUUAUUCAACUUCCUUUUGCUUACUUAAAAUUCCUCCAUAGCCUUUUAAUCAAAUUUAGUCUCUGUACAAACCUGCCCACCAGGAAGAAGUACUCCGAACAAAUAUUGCUGCUAAACUGCCAGAUGUGUCUCUCCGUGUAAAUAAUACCAGCUGCUACGAGUACAGUGGCUAUGGUGUAAAAGGUACUUCCCAUGAAUUUGACUAUAAUUUUCAUAAUAACCCUGCAAGGCAGAGAUGAAUACUUGAGAGCUGUCAGGCAUAGCUGUGAAGGUUGUGCAUUGAGCGAGUCUGAGGCAGGAUUCACAUUGGAGUCUAUGUGAAUGGUGUCUUUUGAAGUUGUAUGAUACUCAGCCCAUACUAUCAUACAAGUAUGACAACAAUACCAAGACUCGACAGUGUCAAGGACUUGCAUACAUUUCAUUAUAUUUAAACUUCAUCCCCGCCAUGCACAGCUGGUGCUACAAGGGGUGGCUAAAAUAUACAGAAUAUAUGAUAAAGGCUUAAAUAAAAAAUUGUUACAGUAAAAGACACAUUGCCAUUAAUCAUCUGCAAAAUCCUCUUCUGGGCUUUGAACGCGCUUAUCUCAUCAUUCUUGCCAUUUUCUGAAGCCAUUCUGGAAGUCUUCUUUCAUGAGUGUCUUCACAAGGUGUAAUCAAAAGUAGGUGACUGCUGCUGCUCAAUGCCAUCCAACAGAAAGACAGGUUAUAAAAAUAUUACAGUGUGACCUUAUCCACUUUAUUCACUGGAUCUGGCACUGUGCAAAUUCUGGCUCUUCUGCAAUCUCAAAAUGGUCAUGAGAGGUAAAUAUUUUGAAUCAGUGCAGAACACUGAGGCAACUUUGACAGCACAACCAAAGACACUCACAAAAGAGGACUUCCAGAGCUGCAUCAGAAAGUGGCAAGAACAAUGGGAUCAGUGUGUUUGAAAUAAGGAAGUGGAUUUUGAGAAGAAUUAAUGGCCAUGUGUCUUUUAUUCUACUAAUUAAAAAAAAAUUGAACAUUCA
Long non-coding RNA from Chinchilla lanigera (long-tailed chinchilla), 1805 nucleotides. NCBI's taxonomy places the organism in Eukaryota, Metazoa, Chordata, Mammalia, Rodentia, Chinchillidae. The record is from Ensembl.